This 253-nucleotide ribosomal RNA is filed under the name uncultured bacterium. RNAcentral describes it as "partial 16S ribosomal RNA". It matches the Rfam family "Bacterial small subunit ribosomal RNA", at positions 524 to 776 of the family's 1533-position model. The record is from RNAcentral.
GACGGAAGGUGCAAGCGUUGCUCGGAAUCACUGGGCGUAAAGGGUGCGUAGGCGGCCGUGCAAGUCUGGCGUGAAAGCCCCGGGCUCAGCCCGGGAAGUGCGCUCGAAACUGCGCGGCUCGAGUGCCGGAGGGGAGAGUGGAAUUCCUGGUGUAGCGGUGAAAUGCGUAGAUAUCAGGAGGAAUACCGGUGGCGAAAGCGCUCUACUGGACCGCAACUGACACUCAGGGACGAAAGCUAGGGGAGCGAAUGGG